This 380-nucleotide unclassified non-coding RNA is filed under the name uncultured Acidobacteriota bacterium. RNAcentral describes it as "uncultured Acidobacteria bacterium contains 16S-23S intergenic spacer region". Lineage: Bacteria; Pseudomonadati; Acidobacteriota. The record is from RNAcentral.
UCCGGUUUGACACCGGCAGUCUCCCUAGAGUGCCCGGCUUUACCCGCUGGUAACUAGGGACGAGGGUUGCGCUCGUUGCGGGACUUAACCCAACAUCUCACGACACGAGCUGACGACAGCCAUGCAGCACCUGUGCACGGACUCCGAAGAGGGGCCGAUGUUUCCACCGGCUUUCCCGUGCAUGUCAAGCCUUGGUAAGGUUCUUCGCGUUGCAUCGAAUUAAUCCGCAUGCUCCGCCGCUUGUGCGGGUCCCCGUCAAUUCCUUUGAGUUUUAGCCUUGCGGCCGUACUCCCCAGGCGGAAUGCUUAAAGCGUUAGCGACGGCACCCGGGGACUAUAAAACCCCAGACACCAAGCAUUCAUCGUUUAAGGCUAGGACUA